This 295-nucleotide long non-coding RNA is filed under the name Malus domestica (apple). Its description in RNAcentral is "long non-coding RNA (MDOM_LNC011746)". Lineage: Eukaryota; Viridiplantae; Streptophyta; Magnoliopsida; Rosales; Rosaceae. The record is from RNAcentral.
AUGACUUGGGUGAGUAUCUCCAUCAACCUGGGAAGAAGAGGCGGCUAACCGCUGAUCAAGUCCAGUUUCUCGAAAAAAGCUUUGAUGUGGAAAACAAGCUGGAACCAGAGAGGAAAGUCCUGCUUGCAAAGGACCUUGGCUUGCAGCCUCGGCAGGUUGCGAUAUGGUUCCAGAACCGCCGGGCGAGGUGGAAGACAAAACACCUUGAGAAGGAUUAUGAGGUGCUGCAAGCCAACUACAAUAAUCUCAAGGCUAACUGUGAAAGCCUUUCGAAAGAGAAUGAUAAACUGAAGGC